ACGACUUCUCUGGCUAGAAAAGUUCCGCGUGUGUUCCCAAAGAGCCUAUGCAAUAAAGACGAAAGCAUUUAUAAUCAACUUCCUCGACUCCUAAGCCUGUUAUUUUUACAACAUUAAGAACCACUUUUGAGCCUCCAACAAUUGAUGACGCCGACGUGAUUCGCCACUUCUACUUUUGGAUAAGACGCUGAUCCGGGCAUUUGGACCCCUGUUGUUUGAAAAAACUCAUAAGGAGGAGUAGAAAUAAAAACUGCUGACAUGAAUAAAGAUGAAAGGAAGCCAGUGAACUGACUUAAGUUAUUUGAAAAGAACAAGCAAGUGCUGGACCUGGUAGAAUUGUGGACUGUGAAUGUGCGUGUGCGGUUGAGAAUAUGUGGGCACACUGAUUUUCAGUCUGGUUAAGAAAAAACGGCCUAAUUACCCGUAUCAAAUUAACAGACAAGCCUAAACUGAAAACAUGGCUGAUCACGCACAAGAAAUGGUAAAGAACGAUAAAUGUAUGGAAUUGAGAAGAUAAAUAUGGAAAGGUUUAACAUUGAUGUUAACAAGGUCAUAAUCCUGAAGAGUUUUAAUGUUUGUAUAUAAAGGAUAGGAGUAAAGUUGUGA
This is a long non-coding RNA of Hypomesus transpacificus, 606 nucleotides long. RefSeq lists it as uncharacterized. NCBI's taxonomy places the organism in Eukaryota, Metazoa, Chordata, Actinopteri, Osmeriformes, Osmeridae. The transcript is spliced from 2 exons. The record is from RefSeq and is a predicted model, not a curated record.